AAGUUUGGUGAAUUUGCAUG
RNAcentral lists this non-coding RNA (20 nucleotides) under Arabidopsis thaliana (thale cress). Lineage: Eukaryota; Viridiplantae; Streptophyta; Magnoliopsida; Brassicales; Brassicaceae. The record is from RNAcentral.